AGUUUCAGGAAUUUAUCUGAGAUUAAACCUGCCCAAUGUAAAAUUUAAAUUAAUGGCCGCGGUACUUUGACCGUGCUAAGGUAGCGCAAUCAAUUGGCUUUUAAUUGAGGUCAGGAAUGAAUGGAAUUACGUGAUUUAACUGUCUCUUAGUUAAUUGUUUGAAAUUACUAUAUAGGUGAAAAAGCCUGUAAGAAGUAAAAAGACGAGAAGACCCUUAGAGUUUUACUUAGUGUAAUGUUUUAAUAUUAUUAUAAUAGUUUAGUUGGGGCAACAUGAGAGCAAUAUUAAAACAAAUCUCUUCAAUAAAAUUAACCGAUGUUUUUAAAUGUAAAUAAACUACCUUAGGGAUAACAGCAUUAUGUAAUAAAUAAGUUUGUGACCUCGAUGUUGGACUGGGAAACUAAAAGGCUAGUCGUCUUUUAGGAAAGUUCUGUUCGAACUAAGAUUCCC
Molecule: ribosomal RNA, 450 nt
Filed under: Mexichromis antonii
Lineage: Eukaryota; Metazoa; Mollusca; Gastropoda; Nudibranchia; Chromodorididae
Description: partial 16S ribosomal RNA
Rfam family: Archaeal large subunit ribosomal RNA
Source: RNAcentral